This 486-nucleotide ribosomal RNA is filed under the name uncultured bacterium. RNAcentral's name for it is "partial 16S ribosomal RNA". It matches the Rfam family "Bacterial small subunit ribosomal RNA", at positions 30 to 507 of the family's 1533-position model. The record is from RNAcentral.
AUUGAACGCUGGCGGCAUGCCUUACACAUGCAAGUCGAACGGCAGCACGGGUGCUUGCCCCUGGUGGCGAGUGGCGAACGGGUGAGUAAUACAUCGGAACAUGUCCUGUAGUGGGGGAUAGCCCGGCGAAAGCCGGAUUAAUACCGCAUACGAUCUACGGCUGAAAGCGGGGGACCUUCGGGCCUCGCGCUAUAGGGUUGGCCGAUGGCUGAUUAGCUAGUUGGUGGGGUAAAGGCCUACCAAGGCGACGAUCAGUAGCUGGUCUGAGAGGACGACCAGCCACACUGGGACUGAGACACGGCCCAGACUCCUACGGGAGGCAGCAGUGGGGAAUUUUGGACAAUGGGCGAAAGCCUGAUCCAGCAAUGCCGCGUGUGUGAAGAAGGCCUUCGGGUUGUAAAGCACUUUUGUCCGGAAAGAAAUCCUUGGCUCUAAUACAGUCGGGGGAUGACGGUACCGGAAGAAUAAGCACCGGCUAACUACGUG